GGCGCUUUGGCGGAGUGGUUAACGCGAUGCCCUGCUAAGGCAUUUCCUUCGGGAGCAAGAGUUCGAAUCUCUUAGGCGUCG
This is a transfer RNA of Aureobasidium namibiae CBS 147.97, 81 nucleotides long. It matches the Rfam family "tRNA". Rfam says of the family: Transfer RNA (tRNA) molecules are approximately 80 nucleotides in length. Their secondary structure includes four short double-helical elements and three loops (D, anti-codon, and T loops). NCBI's taxonomy places the organism in Eukaryota, Fungi, Ascomycota, Dothideomycetes, Dothideales, Saccotheciaceae. The record is from Rfam.